CACGGUUAUAUUGGGGAGCAGGAAGAGCUGUGUUGGGUAAAUGUAACAGACUUUUCUUUUUCUUCUAUGUCACUCUCU
Molecule: microRNA precursor, 78 nt
Filed under: Chlorocebus sabaeus (green monkey)
Lineage: Eukaryota; Metazoa; Chordata; Mammalia; Primates; Cercopithecidae
Description: miRNA (ENSCSAG00000024620.1)
Source: RNAcentral